This 70-nucleotide transfer RNA is filed under the name Sphaerodactylus townsendi. RNAcentral describes it as "tRNA-Ser". It matches the Rfam family "tRNA". Rfam says of the family: Transfer RNA (tRNA) molecules are approximately 80 nucleotides in length. Lineage: Eukaryota; Metazoa; Chordata; Lepidosauria; Squamata; Sphaerodactylidae. The record is from RNAcentral.
GGACAUGGCUUAGUUGUAGAACAUUUCCUUGGAAUGCAGAAGGUCCCAGGUUCGAUCCCUGGCAUCUCCA